This 766-nucleotide ribosomal RNA is filed under the name uncultured Streptococcus sp. RNAcentral's name for it is "bacterial SSU rRNA". It matches the Rfam family "Bacterial small subunit ribosomal RNA", at positions 28 to 776 of the family's 1533-position model. Lineage: Bacteria; Bacillati; Bacillota; Bacilli; Lactobacillales; Streptococcaceae. The record is from RNAcentral.
GACGAACGCUGGCGGCGUGCCUAAUACAUGCAAGUAGAACGCUGAAGAGAGGAGCUUGCUCUUCUUGGAUGAGUUGCGAACGGGUGAGUAACGCGUAGGUAACCUGCCUUGUAGCGGGGGAUAACUAUUGGAAACGAUAGCUAAUACCGCAUAACAAUGGAUGACCCAUGUCAUUUAUUUGAAAGGGGCAAAUGCUCCACUACAAGAUGGACCUGCGUUGUAUUAGCUAGUAGGUGAGGUAACGGCUCACCUAGGCGACGAUACAUAGCCGACCUGAGAGGGUGAUCGGCCACACUGGGACUGAGACACGGCCCAGACUCCUACGGGAGGCAGCAGUAGGGAAUCUUCGGCAAUGGGGGCAACCCUGACCGAGCAACGCCGCGUGAGUGAAGAAGGUUUUCGGAUCGUAAAGCUCUGUUGUAAGUCAAGAACGAGUGUGAGAGUGGAAAGUUCACACUGUGACGGUAGCUUACCAGAAAGGGACGGCUGACUACGCGCCAGCAGCCGCGGUAAUACGUAGGUCCCGAGCGUUGUCCGGAUUUAUUGGGCGUAAAGCGAGCGCAGGCGGUUUGAUAAGUCUGAAGUUAAAGGCUGUGGCUCAACCAUAGUUCGCUUUGGAAACUGUCAAACUUGAGUGCAGAAGGGGAGAGUGGAAUUCCAUGUGUAGCGGUGAAAUGCGUAGAUAUAUGGAGGAACACCGGUGGCGAAAGCGGCUCUCUGGUCUGUAACUGACGCUGAGGCUCGAAAGCGUGGGGGAGCGAACAGG